This is a non-coding RNA of Angiostrongylus cantonensis (rat lungworm), 73 nucleotides long. Lineage: Eukaryota; Metazoa; Nematoda; Chromadorea; Rhabditida; Metastrongylidae. The record is from Rfam.
GCCUCGUUAGCUCAGUUGGAAGAGCGUUAGACUUUUAACCUAACGGUCAAGUGUUCGAGUACCCUACGGAGCU